ACUGGGCAUGGUGGUGCAUGCCUGUAGUCCCAGCUACUUGGGAGGCUGAGGCAGGAAGAUUGCUUGAGCCAAGGAGUUUGAGGCUGCAGUGAGCCAUGAUUGUGCCACUGCAGCCCAGCCUGAGUGACAGAGUGAGACCCUGCCUCAA
This is a non-coding RNA of Homo sapiens (human), 148 nucleotides long. It matches the Rfam family "Metazoan signal recognition particle RNA". Rfam says of the family: The signal recognition particle (SRP) is a universally conserved ribonucleoprotein. It is involved in the co-translational targeting of proteins to membranes. The eukaryotic SRP consists of a 300-nucleotide 7S RNA and six proteins: SRPs 72, 68, 54, 19, 14, and 9. Lineage: Eukaryota; Metazoa; Chordata; Mammalia; Primates; Hominidae. The record is from Rfam.